Triticum aestivum (bread wheat) is the source of this 135-nucleotide non-coding RNA. NCBI's taxonomy places the organism in Eukaryota, Viridiplantae, Streptophyta, Magnoliopsida, Poales, Poaceae. The record is from Rfam.
GUUAUACUCCUUCCGUCUGAAAAUACUUUCCAUCAAAAUAGAUAAGAAGAGAUGUAUCUAGAACUAAAAUACGUCCAAAUACAUCCCCGUUUAUCCAUUUUGAUGGCAAGAAUUUCUGGAUGGAGGGAGUAGAUG